UGUCUUAAAAUCCUUUGAAUAUGUUGUAAUUCAUAUAUUGUCUAUAUUUAUCCGAAUACAAUGGUCCCCAUCUAUUUAAGAGAACAAAGGAUGCAUGUUAAGUUGGCUUUGUCUUCAUAGUGUGCUUCUCACAGCAAAUACAUUGCCAUAGGAAGUCUAUUUGUUCCUAAUCAAUAUGGGUUUACCACUGUGUCUUAGCAUCCACCUUACCAUUGUAGGAAAUACUCCAUAUUGGAUGGUGCGAAACUCCUGGGGAAACUCCUGGGGAGUAGAAGGCUAUGCCUACGUGAAAAUGGGAGGUAAUGUUUGUGGCAUUGCAGACUCUGUUGCUGCUGUCUUCGUGUGAUCAUGGAGUGUUUUGGAAUCCUUAUGAGACAACUACUAAAAUGAUGUGCUUCAGGUUUCAACAACUCAUCUACAGACAGAUUCUAAGAGAAAACUGGCAUUUUGUAAAGCAACAUAGGACAUUCUAUUUUUGCCAAGAGAUGGACAGCCGAAGUUCCUAGGAAAUCCCCCAGCACACUGACUGAUCAACGGAAUCUGUGGGACAGUCCAUACCUCUGAGAGUUUGGUGGGAUCAGAAGUCACAUAGUAUCUGGGAGCAGAUGGGAUUUUUGCUUGCUUAUUGUCUUUCUGGCUAUCCUAAUGAAGUACUUUGGUCAGGUUGAGUCAAAGAAGUGAUGAGAAUGUGUUUUCCUUUGUGACUUACAAUCACCAGUUUUAGAUUAGCUCUUCUAUAAGAACUCCCAACCUGAUGUCGUGUGUACCUCGCAAUUACAGUGGCCUUCUGAAAUGGAGUGCCAUGCGUCCAGAUUUGAAAUAUCAGUGGCUUCAUCUCGGCAAGUGAAGCUUACUCUAGACAGUAGAACAACUAUACACAAAGAAGAAAUGGGAGAAUCCCAUCUUCAGAGGGCCAGCCCAACUGAAGUUAAUUGAAGCACAUGACAGCUAUGUGAUAGGGAGUACCCUACACUACUUCCUGGAAGACAUAAUUUCUAUAAAGCCUCACUAUCAAGCAUCCAAAACUCUUAGCUUCUUGCGUUCUUCCCUCUGUAGUAGACAACAAAGCAUGUCCCACCUUUAUUCCCUCUUGGCCUUUACCAUACGGUUUCUAUGGUUUCCUGGUGGUUCACCUUCCAAUCUAACUCAGACCCAUUGUUGAUAUUCCAUUUCUGUGGCCCAAUCCCUUAUUUUUAAAAAAUAAGUUCUCUGACACCCGCUCACAUUGCUCCUUGUUUAUGUCCUUCAUUAGAAUAGCAGCAUUGAGAACAAAACUCCUUACUCUUUUGUCUGUACCAGUGAGAAGCAAUCUCAAACAGUUGUGCAGAGCCUGGAGUGUAGAGAAAUGGCAGAAGAAACAUUUCUUCUUAACAUUUUGAAUAAAGUGGUCUAAUUACCGGAGGAAUCCAGAGCAAAAUUUAGUUCAGCUAUAGUUUUUGUUAAUGACCUUUAGUAUGCUAUCAGCAACUUUUUUAAUACCCAGUUUCAAAAGCAGAAGAAGUUUCAAAUUUUCAAAAUGGCUGUUAUCCUCUAACUGUUCUGAAUUGAUAGCAUUUAUUAAAAAAAACCUACAUUUGAUUUUGAAUUAAAAAGAAAUUGUUCUUAAAUAUGUGGUCUAUAAUUGAUCAUUAUUUGUGAGCACUAAUAGAUAUUUAUUAGUAUUGAUUAGUUUUAUAUUCACAUUUUCUUGUAUUUGAACCCAUAUAUCCAGUGUGGUUUUCUCCAUAAUGCUUCUAACCCCACCAUGUCCAAGAUUCCCAUCACCAUCCUCCCAUAUCUAUUAUCAAUGCCCAGUGGUCCUUUCCUCCUUACCAUUUCUUUCUGUCAGCAGCAUGGGCUAUUGUGUAAGCAGGCUAUAGAGUCAAAAGGAAGUCUAGGCACUCAAUCUAGUUGACUCCUCCUUGGAACCCACUCCUACAUCUAUCUAUAUUCUCUCUUUUUUGGGAUGUACACUUUUUUUUCAGAGCUGGGGACCAAACCCAGGGCCUUGCGCUUGCUAGGCAAGCGCUCUACCACUGAGCUAAAUCCCCAACCCCCAGGAUGUACACUUUUUAUUAGCACCUAUCUACACUCUUCCGUUGACUCCAGCCCAUCUAAAAUAUCAAACUAAGGCAGAUUAUGUAGAGAUAAUGAGUUUAUUAUUCCACAGUUUAUGCUGCUGGAGAUCUAUAUGAGUGUGUCUCAGAGGUAAAGGGAGAUGAGGGAUUUUACUGGUAAAACUGAGAUCAUUAAACUGUUCUGUUAUGAAAUGACUACCUAGAACUCAGAGAUCUACAUCAAGCUUGACUAGGUAGUCACCAGGCAGAUAUUUUUAUAAAGUUUGCUUUGGUUUUUUGUUUUUGUUUUUGUUUUUGUUUUGAUUUGUAUGAAGUUAUGAUGACCUUUGAUGCAAUGUACUUCAAACACUUUUUGUGAUAGUUCUUGUUAUGUAUCAUCUAUAUAUAAUACCCACUUUUGGUGACUUGCCAGCUUUAUUACUUUUGUUUUCUUAUUAGAUCCUUGAGUAAGUAACUUCCCUUGAUUCUGACAAGUUCUGUUAGUAACUAAACUCAAUGAUCUUUAACACAGUGGGUCCUGAACAAUAAUCUCCAGAGCAGAUUCCAAUGGCUGUGAAAGAUGCAUUCUAAAGAUCUAAAGAUGUAUCUACUGCAUUCUCCUAGAUUUAUGCUUCUAAAAUGAUAUUAUCAUUUAAUUCACAAGUUUUACACCCUGGGAAUCCCCAAAUGUCUGCAGUGUUUCAUGCAAUGUCAUGCAGUGUUUUAAAAUAAGUAUCAUGGAGAGGUCUCUCCUUUGUAUCUUGUGUAAAUGAGUGAUGACUCGUACAUACCAGUUCAUGGGGGCUCCUUCCCCAGAAAACCUGACACAGAGCAGCUGAAUGUGUUACUUACUACAUAGAGUUUAUACCGAAGAUCACCAAUAGGUCCUAGAAGUGAUUUCACAAGGUUCCCCAUUGCAAGUGUUAAAUCAGUCAACUUUGCAUUGGUUUUGAAAUUCCACAAGAAUUAUUAUUAAAGUGGGUCCUCAGUCCCCAGAGCAAAUGGGAAUGGGACCCAGUGGAGGAGCCAUCCAUACAAAUAUAAUAUUUACAUUAAGUACUGCAAAUAUAAAGUGCAAUCAGCACUGUGAUAUUUAUACUAAGAAUUAUUGAAUCCUUUGGGAGGUAGAUUUCCUGUAAUGGUUUAUAGCUUAGUCACAAACAAAUAUAGACACAAAGAACCCAAUCACUGAGUCUAUUGGAGAAAGCUAAACAUUGACAGGUAGCAUUUAUUCCAGGAUUCUAAGGCAUUUGAGUCGUAAAACAUCUAUUUACAUGCCUUUUCAUUAUUUGACAAGAAAGUAUUCCCCAUUUAGAGACAAACUGGUAUUUCACUAGGAGUGUACCACAGCAG
This 3389-nucleotide long non-coding RNA is filed under the name Rattus norvegicus (Norway rat). RNAcentral's name for it is "long non-coding RNA NONRATT032618". The record is from RNAcentral. Lineage: Eukaryota; Metazoa; Chordata; Mammalia; Rodentia; Muridae.